GACGAACGCUGGCGGCGUGCUUAACACAUGCAAGUCGAGCGGUAAGGCCCUUUCGGGGGUACACGAGCGGCGAACGGGUGAGUAACACGUGGGUGACCUGCCCUCAGCUCUGGGGUAAGCCUGGGAAACCGGGUCUAAUACUGGAUAUGACUCCAUGACGCAUGUUGUGGGGUGGAAAGCCUUGUGCGGCUGAGGAUGGGCCCGCGGCCUAUCAGCUUGUUGGUGGGGGAGUGGCC
This 236-nucleotide ribosomal RNA is filed under the name uncultured bacterium. RNAcentral's name for it is "partial 16S ribosomal RNA". It matches the Rfam family "Bacterial small subunit ribosomal RNA", at positions 28 to 265 of the family's 1533-position model. The record is from RNAcentral.